RNAcentral lists this ribosomal RNA (751 nucleotides) under Streptomyces sp. Its description in RNAcentral is "bacterial SSU rRNA". It matches the Rfam family "Bacterial small subunit ribosomal RNA", at positions 85 to 848 of the family's 1533-position model. The record is from RNAcentral. Lineage: Bacteria; Bacillati; Actinomycetota; Actinomycetes; Kitasatosporales; Streptomycetaceae.
GGGUGGAUUAGUGGCGAACGGGUGAGUAACACGUGGGCAAUCUGCCCUUCACUCUGGGACAAGCCCUGGAAACGGGGUCUAAUACCGGAUAACACUCUGUCCCGCAUGGGACGGGGUUAAAAGCUCCGGCGGUGAAGGAUGAGCCCGCGGCCUAUCAGCUUGUUGGUGGGGUAAUGGCCUACCAAGGCGACGACGGGUAGCCGGCCUGAGAGGGCGACCGGCCACACUGGGACUGAGACACGGCCCAGACUCCUACGGGAGGCAGCAGUGGGGAAUAUUGCACAAUGGGCGAAAGCCUGAUGCAGCGACGCCGCGUGAGGGAUGACGGCCUUCGGGUUGUAAACCUCUUUCAGCAGGGAAGAAGCGAAAGUGACGGUACCUGCAGAAGAAGCGCCGGCUAACUACGUGCCAGCAGCCGCGGUAAUACGUAGGGCGCAAGCGUUGUCCGGAAUUAUUGGGCGUAAAGAGCUCGUAGGCGGCUUGUCACGUCGGAUGUGAAAGCCCGGGGCUUAACCCCGGGUCUGCAUUCGAUACGGGCUAGCUAGAGUGUGGUAGGGGAGAUCGGAAUUCCUGGUGUAGCGGUGAAAUGCGCAGAUAUCAGGAGGAACACCGGUGGCGAAGGCGGAUCUCUGGGCCAUUACUGACGCUGAGGAGCGAAAGCGUGGGGAGCGAACAGGAUUAGAUACCCUGGUAGUCCACGCCGUAAACGUUGGGAACUAGGUGUUGGCGACAUUCCACGUCGUCGGUGCCG